Molecule: ribosomal RNA, 253 nt
Filed under: uncultured bacterium
Lineage: Bacteria
Description: partial 16S ribosomal RNA
Rfam family: Bacterial small subunit ribosomal RNA
Source: RNAcentral
GACGAACCGUGCAAACGUUAUUCGGAAUCACUGGGCAUAAAGGGCGCGUAGGCGGCUUUCUAAGUCAGUGGUGAAAGCCCGGAGCUCAACUCCGGAACUGCCAUUGAAACUGUUUAGCUUGAGGAUGAGAGAGGUGAGUGGAAUUCCCAGUGUAGAGGUGAAAUUCGUAGAUAUUGGGAAGAACACCGGUGGCGAAGGCGGCGUCCUGGACCAACACUGACACUGAGGAGCGAAAGCCAGGGGAGCAAACGGG